This 253-nucleotide ribosomal RNA is filed under the name uncultured bacterium. Its description in RNAcentral is "partial 16S ribosomal RNA". It matches the Rfam family "Bacterial small subunit ribosomal RNA", at positions 524 to 776 of the family's 1533-position model. The record is from RNAcentral.
UACGGAGGUUCCAAGCGUUAUCCGGAUUUAUUGGGUUUAAAGGGUGCGUAGGCGGCCUGUUAAGUCAGGGGUGAAAGACGGUAGCUUAACUAUCGCAGUGCCCUUGAUACUGAUGGGCUUGAAUGAACUAGAGGUAGGCGGAAUGUGACAAGUAGCGGUGAAAUGCAUAGAUAUGUCACAGAACACCAAUUGCGAAGGCAGCUUACUAUGGUUUUAUUGACACUGAGGCACGAAAGCGUGGGGAUCAAACAGG